RNAcentral lists this ribosomal RNA (468 nucleotides) under uncultured bacterium. RNAcentral describes it as "partial 16S ribosomal RNA". It matches the Rfam family "Bacterial small subunit ribosomal RNA", at positions 28 to 507 of the family's 1533-position model. The record is from RNAcentral.
GACGAACGCUGGCGGCGUGCUUAACACAUGCAAGUCGAACGGAAAGGCCCUGCUUUUGUGGGGUGCUCGAGUGGCGAACGGGUGGGUAACACGUGAGUAACCUGCCCUUGACUUUGGGAUAACUUCAGGAAACUGGGGCUAAUACCGGAUAGGAGCUCCUGCUGCAUGGUGGGGGUUGGAAAGUUUCGGCGGUUGGGGAUGGACUCGCGGCUUAUCAGCUUGUUGGUGGGGUAGUGGCUUACCAAGGCUUUGACGGGUAGUCGGCCUGAGAGGGUGACCGGCCACAUUGGGACUGAGAUACGGCCCAGACUCCUACGGGAGGCAGCAGUGGGGAAUAUUGCACAAUGGGCGGAAGCCUGAUGCAGCAACGCCGCGUGCGGGAUGACGGCCUUCGGGUUGUAAACCGCUUUCGCCUGUGACGAAGCGUGAGUGACGGUAAUGGGUAAAGAAGCACCGGCUAACUACGUG